Molecule: unclassified non-coding RNA, 506 nt
Filed under: Maekawaea rhytidophylla
Lineage: Eukaryota; Viridiplantae; Streptophyta; Magnoliopsida; Fabales; Fabaceae
Description: Desmodium rhytidophyllum partial contains external transcribed spacer and 18S ribosomal RNA
Source: RNAcentral
AUUUGCCCGCUUGCCUCUUGGCCUUGUGGGGUGUGGUUCGUUUACUGGUGCUGGGUCUAUCGAACGCGCCGGCGCUUGAGUGGUAAUGGGAUUGUUUACGUCGGUCGGCUCUGUGCCCGUGCAUCGAACGGCUGACGUGCUUCCCCUUCAUUGUCCCCGUUUGCCUUCGCGGCAUCGGUGCUUGUGGCGGGGUUCCUGUGUUGCCUACCUGCUUAACGGUAUUUGUGGGGGUUUGUGGAGACUCGUUCCACCCAGUCCAACUUACUGGUGGAUUCCGAAGCAGCGCUUGCCAUCCACGCUAGCCUUGUACUUCCUUGGCUUGCGUGGCACGCUCGUGUCUGCUGAUCUCUCGGAUACGGUGUAUGCUGUGAACGUGGGUUUGGUGUCCCAUGUUGUCCCUCGAAUUUUCGGUUGCCUCGAAUGACGGUUGCCUUGGCGGACGUCCUGCUCACCUCGUGUGUGGCGGCGCUUGCGCCAAUGGCGAAGUCAUGAACGGAUGCUACCUG